UACGAAGGAGGCUAGCGUUGUUCGGAAUCACUGGGCGUAAAGGGCGCGUAGGCGGCUUUAUAAGUCGGGGGUGAAAGCCUGUGGCUCAACCACAGAAUUGCCUUCGAUACUGUAGAGCUUGAGACCGGAAGAGGUAAGUGGAACUGCGAGUGUAGAGGUGAAAUUCGUAGAUAUUCGCAAGAACACCAGUGGCGAAGGCGGCUUACUGGUCCGGUUCUGACGCUGAGGCGCGAAAGCGUGGGGAGCAAACAGG
This 253-nucleotide ribosomal RNA is filed under the name uncultured bacterium. Its description in RNAcentral is "partial 16S ribosomal RNA". It matches the Rfam family "Bacterial small subunit ribosomal RNA", at positions 524 to 776 of the family's 1533-position model. The record is from RNAcentral.